This 456-nucleotide ribosomal RNA is filed under the name uncultured bacterium. Its description in RNAcentral is "bacterial SSU rRNA". It matches the Rfam family "Bacterial small subunit ribosomal RNA", at positions 340 to 786 of the family's 1533-position model. The record is from RNAcentral.
UACGGAGAGGCAGCGGUGGGGAAUAUUGCACAAUGGGCGAAAGCCUGAUGCAGCUAUGCCGCGUGUAUGAAGAAGGCCUUAGGGUUGUAAAGUACUUUCAUCGGGGAGGAAAAACAAAACUAAUAAUUUUAUUUCUUGACGUUACCCGAAAAAGAAGCACCGGCUAACUCCGUGCCAGCAGCCGCGGUAAUACGGAGGGUGCUAGCGUUAAUCAGAAUUACUGGGCGUAAAGAGCACGUAGGUGGUUUUUUUAAGUCAGAUGUGAAAUCCCUGGGCUUAACCUAGGAACUGCAUUUUGAAACUGAAAUACUAGAGUAUCGUAGAGGGAGGUAGAAUUCUAGGUGUAGCGGUGAAAUGCGUAGAUAUCUGGAGGAAUACCUGUGGCGAAAGCGGCCUCCUAAACGAAUACUGACACUGAGGUGCGAAAGCGUGGGGAGCAAACAGGGAUUAGAUACC